Molecule: transfer RNA, 72 nt
Filed under: Candidatus Nealsoniibacteriota bacterium
Lineage: Bacteria; Candidatus Nealsoniibacteriota
Also listed under: 1 other name
Description: Candidatus Nealsonbacteria bacterium tRNA-Arg
Rfam family: tRNA
About the family: Transfer RNA (tRNA) molecules are approximately 80 nucleotides in length. Their secondary structure includes four short double-helical elements and three loops (D, anti-codon, and T loops).
Source: RNAcentral
GCCCCUGUAGUUCAAUGGAAAGAACAGAAUCCUCCUAAGGUUCGGAUAUAGGUUCGACUCCUAUCAGGGGCA